AGGAAUAUUGGUCAAUGGACGCGAGUCUGAACCAGCCAAGUAGCGUGAAGGAUGACUGCCCUAUGGGUUGUAAACUUCUUUUAUAUGGGAAUAAAGUGGUCCACGUGUGGACUUUUGUAUGUACCAUAUGAAUAAGGAUCGGCUAACUCCGUGCCAGCAGCCGCGGUAAUACGGAGGAUCCGAGCGUUAUCCGGAUUUAUUGGGUUUAAAGGGAGCGUAGGCGGAUCGUUAAGUCAGUUGUGAAAGUUUGCGGCUCAACCGUAAAAUUGCAGUUGAUACUGGCAGUCUUGAGUGCAGUAGAGGUGGGCGGAAUUCGUGGUGUAGCGGUGAAAUGCUUAGAUAUCACGAAGAACUCCGAUUGCGAAGGCAGCUCACUGGAGUGUAACUGACGCUGAUGCUCGAAAGUGUGGGUAUCAAACAGGAUUAGAUACCCUGGUAGUCCACACAGUAAACGAUGAAUACUCGCUGUUUGCGAUAUACAGUAAGCGGCCAAGCGAAAGCAUUAAGUAUUCCACCUGGGGAGUACGCCGGCAACGGUGAAACUCAAAGGAAUUGACGGGGGCCCGCACAAGCGGAGGAACAUGUGGUUUAAUUCGAUGAUACGCGAGGAACCUUACCCGGGCUUAAAUUGCAAAUGAAUUAUGGGGAAACCCAUACGCCGCAAGGCAUUUGUGAAGGUGCUGCAUGGUUGUCGUCAGCUCGUGCCGUGAGGUGUCGGCUUAAGUGCCAUAACGAGCGCAACCCUCGUGUCCAGUUACUAGCAGGUUAUGCUGAGGACUCUGGACAGACUGCCGUCGUAAGAUGUGAGGAAGGUGGGGAUGACGUCAAAUCAGCACGGCCCUUACGUCCGGGGCUACACACGUGUUACAAUGGGGGGUACAGCAGGCAGCUACCGGGCGACCGGAUGCCAAUCCCGAAAGCCUCUCUCAGUUCGGACUGGAGUCUGCAACCCGACUCCACGAAGCUGGAUUCGCUAGUAAUCGCGCAUCAGCCACGGCGCGGUGAAUACGUUCCCG
This 1016-nucleotide ribosomal RNA is filed under the name uncultured bacterium. Its description in RNAcentral is "bacterial SSU rRNA". It matches the Rfam family "Bacterial small subunit ribosomal RNA", at positions 357 to 1376 of the family's 1533-position model. The record is from RNAcentral.